AUGUCAUUAUGAAUACAUUUUUGCAAUAGCUCCUUGAAUCGCUCCCAUGCAUCAUAGGAAGAUUCUUUCUUAAGUUGCUGAAAUGUUGAGAUUUCAUUUUCGAGCUU
Molecule: non-coding RNA, 107 nt
Organism: Gossypium arboreum
Lineage: Eukaryota; Viridiplantae; Streptophyta; Magnoliopsida; Malvales; Malvaceae
Source: Rfam